AUGUCUGUAGGUCGCUCUCAGCACACGGCUACCUCGAGCAUGCGGCGCCGGCAAGAGGCCGAGCGUGCCGUGGCAGAGGAGCGUGAGCGAGCGGCUGUAGCAGCGGCUGCUGCGGCGGCAAGAGUGUCGAGGCUGGCUGCAGCGGAGCUGGCAGCAGCCAGAGCGGAGGUAGAAGCAGCCAGGGCGGAGGUAGAAGCAGCAACAGCAGCAGCAGAAGCAGCCCGUGAGGCUACGGCGGAUGCCAAGGCACUCCGCGGCAGCCCCGGCAGCUCCAGCAGCUCCGUGCCUGCGGACGACGGCGCCGACGCAGAUCGCGCCAAAGUGGCGCAGGAGCGGACGGCGCAGUGGGCAGCCGAGCACGCCCGCGCUCCAGGUGGAGGCGCGCACCGCGACGGCGGCUGCAACGACCAGGACCGCGGCCUCUACGAGGUCCGGACUGUGGUUAGGGAUGUUGGUUCCAGUGUUGGGUGGCCUACCCUCACUAAAACCAACUACGUCGAGUGGGCCGGGAUCAUGAAGGUCAGGCUCCAGGUGCGGCGCAUGUGGGAGGCAGUCCAAGACAGCAACGUCGACCACCUAGAGGAUCGACGGGCACUGGACGCCCUCAUCGCCGCAGUCCCGCCCGAGAUGCAGUUCUCGCUUUCCAACAAGCGGACUGCCAAGGAGGCUUGGGACGCCAUCGCCGCAGCACGCAUCGGCAGCGACCGUGCUCGCAAGUCCACCCUGCAGGCACUUCGUAAGGAGUGGGAGAACCUGGGCUUCAAGCCAGGUGAGGACGUUGAUGACUUUGCUCUCCGUCUCAACACUCUGCUGCAGAAGAUGGUGAAGUUUGGCGAUGCCACCUACACCGAGGAGAGAGCUGUCGAGAAGCUUUUUUGGUGCAUUCCCGAGAAGUACAAGCAGAUGGCUCGCUCGAUCGAGUCGUUGCUGGACCUCUCCACGAUGACGAUCGAGGAGGCGAUAGGUCGACUCAAGGUCGUCGACACCGACGAGCCACAGCCCCCCUCGGGGCCCGUCACCACCGAGCUACCCUCGGCGACUCCAGUCGCAAAGGCUUUCAUCCACCUCGAUGAGCCAAAAGCACACGCUCUUCUCGGCGAUGGCUCCGGGAAGGACAAGGCUACGGGGUGGUGCCUCGACACCGGCGCCACCCACCACAUGACCGGUCGAAGGGAAUUCUUCGCCGAGCUCGACUCCGAUGCGCGAGGCUCCGUCAAGUUCGGGGAUGCCUCCGCUGUGGAGAUAAAGGGCGUCGGCUCCGUCAUCUUCACCACCAAGAUGGGAGAGCACCGGCUGCUCACCGGUGUCUACUACAUCCCCGCGCUAAGGAAUUCCAUCAUCAGCUUGGGACAGCUGGAUGAGAACUGCUCACGCGUGCUGAUUGAGCAUGGGGUCCUACGCAUCUGGGAUCGCCAGCGUCGCCUUCUCGCCAAGGUGCCCAGAGGUGAAAACCGACUCUACGUCCUUGAUGUGCAGGUGGCACAACCGGUCUGUCUCGCUGUUCGUCGAGACGACGAGGCGUGGCAGUGGCAUGAGCGCUUUGGGCACCUUCACUUUGAGGCCCUGAAGCGUCUAAGUGCCAAGGAGAUGGUGCGAGGCCUGCCAUGCCUCGACCAUGUGGAGCAGUUCUGCGACAUCUGCGUACUGACAAAGCAGAGACGACUCCCCUUUCCCCAACAGGCGAGUUUUCGGGCUAAGGAGAAGCUGGAGCUCGUGCACGGAGACCUGUGCGGCCCGGUGACGCCAGCCACACCAGGAGGUCGACGCUACUUCCUGCUGCUCGUCGACGAUCUCUCCCGCUACAUGUGGGUGAUGAUCCUCGGCAGUAAGGGAGAAGCGGCGGACGCCAUCAGGCGCGCGCAGGUUGGUGUGGAGGCGGAGAGCGGCCGCAAAUUGCGCGUGUUGCGCACUGACAACGGCGGCGAGUUCACGAUGGCUGAAUUCGCGUCGUACUGCACCGAUGAGGGCAUCCAGCGCCACUACUCCGCGCCGUACAGCCCGCAGCAAAACGGCGUCAUCGAGCGGCGCAACCAGACGUUUGUGGGGAUGGCUCGGGCUCUCCUCAAGCAGAGAGGGAUGCCGGCUGUUUUCUGGGGAGAGGCGGUGCUAACGGCCGUCUACAUCCUCAACCGCUCUCCUACUAAGGCACUCGAUGGCAGAACUCCGUACGAGGCCUGGCAUGGGCGGAAGCCGGCGGUCUCUCAUUUGCGGGUCUUUGGCUGCCUUGCGUUCGCCAAGGAGCUCGGCCACAUCGGCAAGCUCGACGACAGGAGCACUCCGGGAGUCUUCAUCGGCUACGCGGAGGGCUCAAAGGCCUACCGCAUCCUCGACCCAAAGACACAACGUGUGCGCACAGCGCGAGACGUCGUGUUCAAUGAAGGGCGAGGGUGGCAAUGGGACAAGGCGGUGGACGACGGCUCGACGCCGAUGUAUGACGACUUCAUUAUCGACCCGAUGAAGUUCGCUUCCCCGCUCACUCACGACGAGGAGCGGGUCGACGCAUGGUAUGGAGGCGAACCGCUGCGGUACCGUACGAUGGAUAAUGUGCUCGGCGACCAGCCGGUGCCAGGACUGGUGCCACGUGACCUGGAGGCGCAGCUACAGCUCGUGUGUGAAGACGGCGAACCACGGUCCUUUGCAGAGGCCGAGAGAGACGCGGCAUGGCGCGCCGCGAUGAAGUUGGAGAUGGAUGCGGUCGAGCAAAACCGCACCUGGGAGCUUGCUGAUCUCCCUCGAGGUCACCGCGCAAUCACCCUUAAGUGGGUGUUCAAGCUGAAGAGGGAUGGAGCCGGCGCCAUCAUCAAGCACAAGGCUCGUUUGGUGGCCCGAGGCUUCUUGCAGCAGGAAGGAGUCGACUUCGACGACGCUUUCGCUCCCGUGGCACGGAUGGAGUCCGUGCGACUUCUCCUUGCGCUGGCUGCCCAGGAGGGCUGGCGUGUCCACCACAUGGACGUUAAGUCGGCAUUCCUCAAUGGCGACUUGAAGGAGGAAGUCUAUGUGCAUCAGCCACCGGGGUUUACGAUUCCCGGCCAGGAGGGCAAGGUGCUCCGCCUGCGCAAGGCUCUCUAUGGCCUGCGGUAG
RNAcentral lists this ribosomal RNA (3081 nucleotides) under Triticum aestivum (bread wheat). RNAcentral describes it as "partial small subunit ribosomal RNA". Lineage: Eukaryota; Viridiplantae; Streptophyta; Magnoliopsida; Poales; Poaceae. The record is from RNAcentral.